This 862-nucleotide long non-coding RNA is filed under the name Marmota monax (woodchuck). The record is from RNAcentral. Lineage: Eukaryota; Metazoa; Chordata; Mammalia; Rodentia; Sciuridae.
CUUAAUGCUAGGUUCUUGGGUGAAAAGGUUCUUUGUAGAGCAGAAAGUAAGGUUCGCUUUUCCAGCGCUGAUAGUCCGGCAACUCCGGGCAAGAGAGCUUUAGAGUGUCUGUUGCAGGGCAGAGCUUUCGGAACAACGCUAAUGCCACAUUUUUUUGCAGUAAAACUCAAGGGGUCCCCAGCACACACACACCCCCCAGCAUCAUCCCACCUUGCCUUCCUGUCUGCAGGGACUCAAACAAAAAUGCAGCCUUGGUGUUUUUGAGUCCCUACAGGAUUACUCAGGUCUAAUACCAUAAUGAAAGUAAAUAGUCUACCUAAGAAAACCUGCACUUAGGAAACAGGAAAAUCAGGCAGUUGUAUGUCAAUCCUUGGUUUUCCUGUCCUCCUCCCUCUGAGCUCGUUUACGUGUGGGGGCGGGGCUGCAACCUUGACAACUAAUAUCACUAGGCCCAUCCCACAGCAGAUUUAUCUGUGUCCUUCACCAGAGAUCUGGAGAGCUGAAGCCCAGAUAGGAUCCCAGAGUGGGCAUGCCCGGCGACGCCCAGCGGCGCGUAAGACGUGCCAGUGAAAUUGGGCGGUGGGUUCGUUCGCCGGCCAAUCAGGAAAGAGCAGGCAGACGGGAACGCAGGAUGCGCAGACGCUUCAUAGAAGUUUACCCCAGCUUCCGGGUCUAUUCGUCCCUUCAGCUUUCUCGGGUAAGAUGUCGGUUGUUGAGUGGCCUUGUUCCCAGCCUCCAAGUCCCGAGAACAGAGAACUUAAACUCCAGAACCACCGCUCGCCGUGGCUCAAGACUUGGAGCAGAGACUUUGGCACUAGGCAGAACUGCUCUUGUAGAGAAAAUUGUUAGUUACCGAAGGAAG